Molecule: unclassified non-coding RNA, 88 nt
Filed under: Arabidopsis thaliana (thale cress)
Lineage: Eukaryota; Viridiplantae; Streptophyta; Magnoliopsida; Brassicales; Brassicaceae
Description: small nucleolar RNA R17
Source: RNAcentral
GUUGAUGAUGAGUAGUGGACACAAAAGCCACAGCUUGAGCCCACGCCUUAAGCCUCGCUUUCACGUCUUUUGGAUCAUCCCCUGAAAU